CAGUCGCCACGGUAAUACAGAGGGUGCGAGCGUUAAUCGGAUUUACUGGGCGUAAAGCGUGCGUAGGCGGCUUCUUAAGUCGGAUGUGAAAUCCCUGAGCUUAACUUAGGAAUUGCAUUCGAUACUGGGAAGCUAGAGUAUGGGAGAGGAUGGUAGAAUUCCAGGUGUAGCGGUGAAAUGCGUAGAGAUCUGGAGGAAUACCGAUGGCGAAGGCAGCCAUCUGGCCUAAUACUGACGCUGAGGUACGAAAGCAUGGGGAGCAAACAGGAUUAGAUACCCCAGUAGUCCCUGUCUCUUAUAA
This 301-nucleotide ribosomal RNA is filed under the name uncultured bacterium. RNAcentral's name for it is "partial 16S ribosomal RNA". It matches the Rfam family "Bacterial small subunit ribosomal RNA", at positions 509 to 809 of the family's 1533-position model. The record is from RNAcentral.